Non-coding RNA from Lolium perenne, 1474 nucleotides. Lineage: Eukaryota; Viridiplantae; Streptophyta; Magnoliopsida; Poales; Poaceae. The record is from RefSeq and is a predicted model, not a curated record.
GUGUAGUUAUUUGCAGAUCUCAUAUGCCAUUAACUUUCUUGAUGUGUUACUUCGCAUGAAGUUCGUUUAAAUAUUGUACAGUACAAAAGCAUUAUCCGGUCGCUACCAUCCUGUUCAUUCUACUGACACCUGUGUGCAUCCACAUAUUUAUAGCCUUAUACCCAUUCAUUUGAUGCCAACUGUUUUUGUACUGCAUCCUAUUCCUUUUAUAGUCAUGCUAUGGGCAUUUCCAAUCUGGUUGUUCUUAUACCACGUCAUUAGCUCAGCGCUAGCCGCUAGCCGUUUUCUCGUGCCUGCUAUUCUCACACUGCUUUUAUAAUCAUGCUAUGUGCAUUUCCAAUAUGCUUGCUCUUAUACCUCGUCUUUAGCUUAUAGCUAUUUUUUUCCAUGAAUGCUCAUGUCGCACAGCUUGUAUAGUUAUUGCUGCGUGCAUGUCUGGUCUUUGUAUUAUCGUAGACUAACUUGUCAAUGUUAUUUUUCCUAGGGAUUGAUCAUGCGAACCACUUAUUAGAACAUCCAACAUUAACAGCGAGGACGCUAGGGAAGGUUGGAAUCUGAGUUCUUGAUUAAGGACAAUGGAGCAGGAGGAUUAGCAUUUCACUUGAUGGCUGAACCUAAAAUGACAGGCAUGUCGACCACGACUAGUGCACGCAAGAGAAGGACCUGCAGCGAGCUAGUAUGUGCUUAGUACACGCAUCUUAUCUUAUCUUGUCCUUAUUUCUGCUACAUGUUGUUAUCUGAUCUCUACAUUGCAUAAUACAUGUUUGAAUAGUUAAUUGUUGUAACUAUGUUUGCAAUAUUACCAGAAUGCAGUUUUAAUGAAGCGAGUCAUCAUUAGAAGAUAGUCACCAAAGCGACCCUGUGCAACAUUAUGAUGUAAGUCUGUGCUUAGUACAAGUUCCAUACAUUGUCUUAUUUAUGGAACUUGUUAUUAUCUUAUAUCUACAUUGCAUAAUAAAUGUUUGAAUAGUUCACUGUUGUAACUAUGUUUGCAAUAUUACUAGAAUGCACUUGUAAUGAAGAAGUCCUUAGUAGAAGAUAGAGCGCAAAAAAGGUUCCGGGGUGAGCCUAUGCAACGAUAUAAUAAUGCAGUUGUGAUGAAGCAAUCUUCAUCAGAAGAGAGGCCCACAAAAAGUUCUGAUCUUUCUUCUGAUGCAUCCUCUCAUAGCCGUCAACCUAGACCAUUCCUUUCAUCAAGCAGUAAAUAUCUCAAGGCUGUACUUUAUAAAAGACAUGGUAUUGCUGCUUUAAGAUCUGUAGCUGAUAUGUUGACCAAGAGUACACACGAUUCAAUCAAGGCGAUUGCCAAAUGUCAACGUGUUAUUGAUGAUGCUAAUAGAAGUCCUCAAUGAUUCUAUGUAAUUUUUUUAUUUGGGCACAUUAAUUGCCUUGUAAUUUUCCUAGUUAUUUUAUUUGUGUAUGUAAUUGUGUGUAUCAUUGAUACCAGAUUUUAGGCUCAUGAAAUUUAAUGCAA